AGAUGACAGAAAUUAAGGGAGGAUGGGGGACUGCGAAAUGUCACAGCUGUGGAGACUUGAAAGAGGCUUGGCAUGGAGGUGGAGGUAACACAGCGCACCUGGGGCAAGCAGACGUGUAAUGUUAAGGCACUAACUACAGAGUGUAUGGAGACACACACACACAGCAGCAGAGAGAGACGUUCAUGUGUGAAAUGAGAUCUCUGCACAAUCAGUGGGAGUUGCAGCUAUAAAGCACAUCAAGCUUUUCAGCUUUAAGAUAAACCCAUUUGUGGACAUUCAAAAAUGAAACCGAGUGGUGGGUCCAGUCACCAGGUUUUUGUUUGUUUUUUUCUGAAAAAGAAGAGCAGAAAUUUUGCACCAAAUAAAAACUCAUCAAUCUUUAUUUCUAACAACUUAAAAAAAACAACUUAUUCUUGCAACCGAAAUAAACCGUAGUUUAGACACAUAAAUUAUAGUAAUACAUAAACCUUCUCAACUUUUAUGCUCUACUUUAGCUUGACAAA
Seriola aureovittata is the source of this 503-nucleotide long non-coding RNA. RefSeq lists it as uncharacterized. NCBI's taxonomy places the organism in Eukaryota, Metazoa, Chordata, Actinopteri, Carangiformes, Carangidae. The record is from RefSeq and is a predicted model, not a curated record. The transcript has 3 exons.